CUAUCAGUAUGGUUGGUCCACUAGGAACCAGCGGGAAAGAUAAAACCUUCGGUUUGUACUCUGCUUCGUGAACUAUGUUGUGACCCCGCUCCCUCUUCCCUCAGAGACCUGCAGACGGACGGUAGUGUUGGCUUGAGUUUUUGUGACGAAGCUUACUUUUCAGUUUCACCCCUAAGCUACUACUCCUAGAAGAGUGACGUUGGCCUAGUUGAAUUUGACGAGGUUGACUAUUAUGUGACCAAGAAGGACAUAAUAAAUCAUGACAUUUGAAGAACAUCCUGAGUUCAAAGACUAAUGCUGAUGAGAGCUGCAUUCCACGAGGGCUCAGUAAUAGAACCACCGUUGGCCCAGCUGUCUCAGAAUGUUGUCUGUAAAGAGGGGUAGUAACCAGUUUGAUGCUCUGGUAUGAGCUUAUAUCCACAUGCCUCUCACCUGGGCUCUAAGUCCAUUCACUUUCCACUGCAGUUCCAUGAAAUUCAUCCUGGCGCUGUCCCAAUUUCAGAGCUAUUGUAUUAGCAUCAUUGCUGGACAUGAACAAAUAUUGACUAUAGCCUUAAUUUCUGUUCUUCCUUAAAGAAAUUUAUAAAAAUGGCACUGUGGUGCAUCUAUGUGGAUAAAGACAAAAA
This is a long non-coding RNA of Mesoplodon densirostris (Blainville's beaked whale), 626 nucleotides long. RefSeq lists it as uncharacterized. The record is from RefSeq and is a predicted model, not a curated record. Lineage: Eukaryota; Metazoa; Chordata; Mammalia; Artiodactyla; Ziphiidae. The transcript is spliced from 3 exons.